CCUACGGGCGGCAGCAGUGAGGAAUAUUGGUCAAUGGGCGGAAGCCUGAACCAGCCAAGUAGCGUGCAGGAUGACGGCCCUACGGGUUGUAAACUGCUUUUAUACGGGAAUAACGCGCCUUACGUGUAGGGCUUUGCAUGUACCGUAUGAAUAAGGACCGGCUAAUUCCGUGCCAGCAGCCGCGGUAAUACGGAAGGUCCGGGCGUUAUCCGGAUUUAUUGGGUUUAAGGGGAGCGUAGGCCGCAUGUCAAGCGUGCUGUGAAAUGUCCGGGCUCAACCCGGGCCUUGCAGCGCGUACUGGCGUGCUUGAGUCCGCGGAAAGCAGGCGGAAUUCGUCGUGUAGCGGUGAAAUGCUUAGAUAUGACGAAGAACCCCGAUUGCGAAGGCGACUAUCUGGCACAUAACUGACGCUGAGGAGCGAAAGCGUGGGUAGCAAACAGGAUUAGAUACCCCUGUAGUC
RNAcentral lists this ribosomal RNA (460 nucleotides) under uncultured bacterium. RNAcentral's name for it is "partial 16S ribosomal RNA". It matches the Rfam family "Bacterial small subunit ribosomal RNA", at positions 338 to 795 of the family's 1533-position model. The record is from RNAcentral.